AUUGAACGCUGGCGGCAUGCCUUACACAUGCAAAUCGAACGGCAGCACGGGUGCUUGCACCUGGUGGCGAGUGGCGAACGGGUGAGUAAUACAUCGGAACAUGUCCUGUAGUGGGGGAUAGCCCGGCGAAAGCCGGAUUAAUACCGCAUACGAUCUACGGAUGAAAGCGGGGGACCUUCGGGCCUCGCGCUAUAGGGUUGGCCGAUGGCUGAUUAGCUAGUUGGUGGGGUAAAGGCCUACCAAGGCGACGAUCAGUAGCUGGUCUGAGAGGACGACCAGCCACACUGGGACUGAGACACGGCCCAGACUCCUACGGGAGGCAGCAGUGGGGAAUUUUGGACAAUGGGCGAAAGCCUGAUCCAGCAAUGCCGCGUGUGUGAAGAAGGCCUUCGGGUUGUAAAGCACUUUUGUCCGGAAAGAAAUCCUUGGCCCUAAUACGGUCGGGGGGAUGACGGUACCGGAAGAAUAAGCACCGGCUAACUACG
RNAcentral lists this ribosomal RNA (485 nucleotides) under uncultured bacterium. Its description in RNAcentral is "partial 16S ribosomal RNA". It matches the Rfam family "Bacterial small subunit ribosomal RNA", at positions 30 to 505 of the family's 1533-position model. The record is from RNAcentral.